Molecule: non-coding RNA, 96 nt
Organism: Caenorhabditis elegans
Lineage: Eukaryota; Metazoa; Nematoda; Chromadorea; Rhabditida; Rhabditidae
Source: Ensembl
AGUGAAGCUCGGGGAUCGAGAGUUUUAAAAGGGUCACUAAUUACAAAAUGAAACCGGUGAAAAGUGUUACGGUACAUUGAGAUUCUGGGUUCUGCC